Molecule: ribosomal RNA, 460 nt
Filed under: uncultured bacterium
Lineage: Bacteria
Description: partial 16S ribosomal RNA
Rfam family: Bacterial small subunit ribosomal RNA
Source: RNAcentral
CCUACGGGAGGCAGCAGUGAGGAAUAUUGGUCAAUGGGCGCGAGCCUGAACCAGCCAAGCCGCGUGAAGGAAGACGGCCCUACGGGUUUUAAACUUCUUUUAUAAGGGAACAAAGCGAGGCACGUGUCCCGUUUUGUAUGUAUAUUACGAAUAAGGAUCGGCUAACUCCGUGCCAGCAGCCGCGGUAAUAAGGAGGAUGCGAGCGGUAUCCGGAUUUAAUGGGUUUAAAGGGAGCGGAGGUGGGUUGUUAAGUCAGUUGGGAAAGGUUGCGGCUCAACCCUAAAAAUGCAAUUGAUACUGGCAGGCUUGAGAACAGUAGAGGUAGGCGGAAUUCGUGGUGUAGCGGUGAAAUGCUUAGAUAUCGCGAAGAACUCCGAUUGCGAAGGCAGCUUACUGGCCUGGCACUGACGCUGAUGCACGAAAGUGUGGGUAUCAAACAGGAUUAGAUACCCCAGUAGUC